AAUACAUGUCGCCAUUGACUUUUAACCAUAUGUUUGACUAUUCGUCUUAUUCAAAAAAUUUAUACAAAUAUUAUUUAUUUUCGUUAUGAAUUGGUUUAUUACUAUGGAUAUUUUAAACAUGACUUGCAUUUUUAUAUAUUUGCAUAAAUUUUUUGAAUAAGACGAAUGGUCAAAUAUGUGAUAAAAAGUCAAUGGCGACAUGUAUU
MicroRNA precursor from Leersia perrieri, 206 nucleotides. It matches the Rfam family "MIR812 microRNA precursor family". Lineage: Eukaryota; Viridiplantae; Streptophyta; Magnoliopsida; Poales; Poaceae. The record is from Rfam.